CAAUGAAUCUUUAGAUUUGGUUCCAUUUGUCUACUUAUGAGUUCUAUAUGAAUUGACAAAAGUCUAGAGUAUCCUUUCUUGAAGAAAAGGAAGAUCACAUUAUAAUGAUAUAAGUAAUAAGAAAAACAUUUCUUAUAUGGUUAUCACUUGAAACACAAUGAUCAAAAUCACUCUUGAUUCAAUUAGUAGUUUUGAACAACUAAUUGGGCAUUCUUUAAAAGGUUUUAAAAUGUCAAUUGUGUUAGUAAUUAAACCAAGAAAUAAGUGUCUAAAUCUAUAAAAUGUUUAAAGACUUUAGUCACUUAAUAACAAGACAUUAACUUAGUGAAGAUUGAAACAAAUAAGCUUGGAAUGUUUUAAAGCUACUACACAAUGUCUUCUUCCAAUAUACUCCACUUUCAUACAUUUUGAAUAUAUGAAAUGAUUUCUCAUUAAAGUCAUGAGAAAUAGUGGGAGGUGUGAAAAUGGAUAUAAACUUGAAUGUGAUUGGUUUAUAGUUGUCUAAAGAAUAAUAGUACUUGACUAUUAUUAAAAGUUUGUAAUUUUAAUUGUUAAAAGGACUCAAGCUCUUCAAACGUUAAAAUUCUAUGUUGUGUGACAUUCUA
Molecule: long non-coding RNA, 605 nt
Filed under: Malus domestica (apple)
Lineage: Eukaryota; Viridiplantae; Streptophyta; Magnoliopsida; Rosales; Rosaceae
Description: long non-coding RNA (MDOM_LNC018340)
Source: RNAcentral